This 389-nucleotide ribosomal RNA is filed under the name uncultured bacterium. RNAcentral describes it as "bacterial SSU rRNA". It matches the Rfam family "Bacterial small subunit ribosomal RNA", at positions 28 to 417 of the family's 1533-position model. The record is from RNAcentral.
GACGAACGCUGGCGGCGUGCUUAACACAUGCAAGUCGAGCGGUAAGGCCCUUUUCGGGGGUACACGAGCGGCGAACGGGUGAGUAACACGUGGGUGACCUGCCCUCAGCUCUGGGAUAAGCCCGGGAAACUGGGUCUAAUACUGGAUAUGACUCCACGGUGCAUGCCGUGGGGUGGAAAGCCUUGUGCGGCUGAGGAUGGGCCCGCGGCCUAUCAGCUUGUUGGUGGGGUGAUGGCCUACCAAGGCGACGACGGGUAGCCGGCCUGAGAGGGCGACCGGCCACACUGGGACUGAGACACGGCCCAGACUCCUACGGGAGGCAGCAGUGGGGAAUCUUGCGCAAUGGGCGAAAGCCUGACGCAGCGACGCCGCGUGAGGGAUGACGGCCU